Non-coding RNA from Acanthosepion pharaonis, 109 nucleotides. The record is from the annotation of a GenBank genome assembly. Lineage: Eukaryota; Metazoa; Mollusca; Cephalopoda; Sepiida; Sepiidae.
UCAGGCUUACGAUCAAACACCUGUUCCCGAAUGAUCACCGACUUUAAGCAACGUUAAGCCUGAUCAGCACCUAGAUGGGUGACCACUUGGGAAUGCCAUGUGUUGUAUG